AAAAAGGGUGCUCGCUACUUUAAUAGCGCGUUGGUUCGUUACGCGAACUAGCGGGGUAUGGCUAUCAAGACAUACCCAGUACGUAAUUUUUGUAAUCGUGAGGCUGUUAGCUGCCAGAUGCACUGACGCCUCC
Cotesia glomerata is the source of this 133-nucleotide small nuclear RNA. RefSeq annotates it as U11 spliceosomal RNA. The transcript has a single exon. Lineage: Eukaryota; Metazoa; Arthropoda; Insecta; Hymenoptera; Braconidae. The record is from RefSeq and is a predicted model, not a curated record.